CCUAUCAGCUUUAGACGGUAGGGUAUUGGCCUACCGUGGCAAUGACGGGUAACGGGGAAUUAGGGUUCGAUUCCGGAGAGGGAGCCUGAGAAACGGCUGGCGCAUUUAAGGAAGGCAGCAGGCGUGCAAAUUACCCAAUCCUAAUACAGGGAGGUAGUGACAAGAAAUAACAAUACAGGAUUUUAACAGUUUUGUAAUUGGAAUGAGUUGAGUAUAAACCCCUUUACAAGUAUCAAUUGGAGGGCAAGUCUGGUGCCAGCAGCCGCGGUAAUUCCAGCUCCAAUAGCGUAUAUUAAAGUUGUUGCAGUUAAAAAGCUCGUAGUUGGAUUUCUGUUAAUAAUUUAUAUAUAAUAUUUAACAUAUUUAUAUAAUAUUAACAUAAUUCAUAUUACUAUUUAUAGUAUAUGAAACUUUACUUUGAGAAAAUUAGAGUGCUUAAAGCAGGCUUUUGCCUUGAAUACUAGAGCAUGGAAUAAUAUUAAAGAUUUUUAUCUUUCUUAUUGGUUCUAAGAUAGAAAUAAUGAUUAAUAGGGACAGUGGGGGGCAUUUGUAUUUAACAGUUAGAGGUGAAA
This 572-nucleotide ribosomal RNA is filed under the name Cryptosporidium canis. RNAcentral describes it as "SSU rRNA". It matches the Rfam family "Eukaryotic small subunit ribosomal RNA", at positions 311 to 916 of the family's 1831-position model. Lineage: Eukaryota; Apicomplexa; Conoidasida; Eucoccidiorida; Cryptosporidiidae. The record is from RNAcentral.